GAUGAACGCUGGCGGCGUGCCUAAUACAUGCAAGUCGAGCGAACGGACGAGAAGCUUGCUUCUCUGAUGUUAGCGGCGGACGGGUGAGUAACACGUGGAUAACCUACCUAUAAGACUGGGGUAACUUCGGGAAACCGGAGCUAAUACCGGAUGAUAUUUUGAACCGCAUGGUUCAAAAGUGAAAGACGGUCUUGCUGUCACUUAUAGAUGGAUCCGCGCUGCAUUAGCUAGUUGGUAAGGUAACGGCUUACCAAGGCAACGAUGCAUAGCCGACCUGAGAGGGUGAUCGGCCACACUGGAACUGAGACACGGUCCAGACUCCUACGGGAGGCAGCAGUAGGGAAUCUUCCGCAAUGGGCGAAAGCCUGACGGAGCAACGCCGCGUGAGUGAUGAAGGUCUUCGGAUCGUAAAACUCUGUUAUUAGGGAAGAACAUAUGUGUAAGUAACUGUGCACAUCUUGACGGUACCUAAUCAGAAAGCCACGGCUAGCUACGUG
This 497-nucleotide ribosomal RNA is filed under the name uncultured bacterium. Its description in RNAcentral is "partial 16S ribosomal RNA". It matches the Rfam family "Bacterial small subunit ribosomal RNA", at positions 28 to 507 of the family's 1533-position model. The record is from RNAcentral.